UACGUAGGGUGCGAGCGUUAAUCGGAAUUACUGGGCGUAAAGGGUGCGCAGGCGGCCCUGUAAGACCGGUGUGAAAUCCCCGGGCUCAACCUGGGAAUUGCGCUGGUGACUGCAGGGCUAGAGUACGGUAGAGGGGGUGGAAUUCCUGGUGUAGCAGUGAAAUGCGUAGAGAUCAGGAGGAACACCGAUGGCGAAGGCAGCCCCCUGGGCCUGUACUGACGCUCAUGCACGAAAGCGUGGGGAGCAAACAGGAUUAGAUACCCGAGUAGU
RNAcentral lists this ribosomal RNA (270 nucleotides) under uncultured bacterium. RNAcentral's name for it is "partial 16S ribosomal RNA". It matches the Rfam family "Bacterial small subunit ribosomal RNA", at positions 524 to 794 of the family's 1533-position model. The record is from RNAcentral.